AGCGAACGCUGGCGGCAGGCUUAACACAUGCAAGUCGAGCGGGCAUAGCAAUAUGUCAGCGGCAGACGGGUGAGUAACGCGUGGGAACGUACCUUUUGGUUCGGAACAACUGAGGGAAACUUCAGCUAAUACCGGAUAAGCCCUUACGGGGAAACAUUUAUCGCCGAAAGAUCGGCCCGCGUCUGAUUAGCUAGUUGGUGAGGUAAUGGCUCACCAAGGCGACGAUCAGUAGCUGGUCUGAGAGGAUGAUCAGCCACAUUGGGACUGAGACACGGCCCAAACUCCUACGGGAGGCAGCAGUGGGGAAUAUUGGACAAUGGGCGCAAGCCUGAUCCAGCCAUGCCGCGUGAGUGAUGAAGGCCCUAGGGUUGUAAAGCUCUUUUGUGCGGGAAGAUAAUGACGGUACCGCAAGAAUAAGCCCCGGCUAACUUCGUG
Molecule: ribosomal RNA, 435 nt
Filed under: uncultured bacterium
Lineage: Bacteria
Description: partial 16S ribosomal RNA
Rfam family: Bacterial small subunit ribosomal RNA
Source: RNAcentral